UGAGUAAGCUGGACAAUCGCGCCCGGUAUGCCGAAAGGUUCCCGGGUGAGGAAAGUCCGGGCUCCAUAGGGCAAGGAUAACGGAUAACGUCCGCCGAAGGCAACUUCAGGAAAAGUGCAACAGAGAUAUACCGCCGGGGCUUCGCCCCGGUAAGGGUGGAAAGGCGAGGUAAGAGCUCACCGGCUUCCCUGGAAACUUGGAAGCCCUGUAAACUCUAUCCGGAGCAACACCGCAGUGGGGAGUCCGCGAAAGCGGAGACUUGCCCGGUCAAUUCCCCCAGGGUGGCAUGGACAUGUGCGGCAACGUACAUGCAAGAUAGAUGAUUGUCCACGACAGAACCCGGCUUACAGGCUUACUCACAAC
This 363-nucleotide RNase P RNA is filed under the name Oscillospiraceae bacterium. RNAcentral's name for it is "RNase P RNA component class A". It matches the Rfam family "Bacterial RNase P class A". Rfam says of the family: Ribonuclease P (RNase P) is a ubiquitous endoribonuclease, found in archaea, bacteria and eukarya as well as chloroplasts and mitochondria. Its best characterised activity is the generation of mature 5'-ends of tRNAs by cleaving the 5'-leader elements of precursor-tRNAs. Cellular RNase Ps are ribonucleoproteins. Lineage: Bacteria; Bacillati; Bacillota; Clostridia; Eubacteriales; Oscillospiraceae. The record is from RNAcentral.